This 464-nucleotide ribosomal RNA is filed under the name Vreelandella stevensii. Its description in RNAcentral is "partial 16S ribosomal RNA". It matches the Rfam family "Bacterial small subunit ribosomal RNA", at positions 338 to 795 of the family's 1533-position model. The record is from RNAcentral. Lineage: Bacteria; Pseudomonadati; Pseudomonadota; Gammaproteobacteria; Oceanospirillales; Halomonadaceae.
CCUACGGGCGGCAGCAGUGGGGAAUAUUGGACAAUGGGGGGAACCCUGAUCCAGCCAUGCCGCGUGUGUGAAGAAGGCCCUCGGGUUGUAAAGCACUUUCAGUGAGGAAGAACGCCUGGUGGUUAAUACCCAUCAGGAAAGACAUCACUCACAGAAGAAGCACCGGCUAACUCCGUGCCAGCAGCCGCGGUAAUACGGAGGGUGCGAGCGUUAAUCGGAAUUACUGGCGUAAAGCGCGCGUAGGUGGCUUGAUAAGCCGGUUGUGAAAGCCCCGGGCUCAACCUGGGAACGGCAUCCGGAACUGUCAAGCUAGAGUGCAGGAGAGGAAGGUAGAAUUCCCGGUGUAGCGGUGAAAUGCGUAGAGAUCGGGAGGAAUACCAGUGGCGAAGGCGGCCUUCUGGACUGACACUGACACUGAGGUGCGAAAGCGUGGGUAGCAAACAGGAUUAGAUACCCCGGUAGUC